UACGUAGGGGGCGAGCGUUGUCCGGAAUUAUUGGGCGUAAAGGGUGCGUAGGCGGGUCUUUAAGUCAGGGGUGAAAUCCUGGAGCUCAACUCCAGAACUGCCUUUGAUACUGAGGAUCUUGAGUUCGGGAGAGGUGAGUGGAACUGCGAGUGUAGCGGUGAAAUGCGUAGAUAUCAGGAGGAACACCUGUGGUGUAGACAGCUUACUGGACCACUUCUGACGCUGAGACACGAAAGCGUGGGUAGCAAACAGG
This 253-nucleotide ribosomal RNA is filed under the name uncultured bacterium. RNAcentral's name for it is "partial 16S ribosomal RNA". It matches the Rfam family "Bacterial small subunit ribosomal RNA", at positions 524 to 776 of the family's 1533-position model. The record is from RNAcentral.